RNAcentral lists this transfer RNA (66 nucleotides) under Cyclopogon epiphyticus. Its description in RNAcentral is "partial transfer RNA-Leu". Lineage: Eukaryota; Viridiplantae; Streptophyta; Magnoliopsida; Asparagales; Orchidaceae. The record is from RNAcentral.
GACGCUACGGACUUGGAAAAUCCGUCGAAUUUAAAAAUCGUGAGGGUUCAAGUCCCUCUAUCCCCA